CAUUCGUAUUUUUACAAAUCAAAAGGGAACAUUUGAAUCCAAGUACAAUUAGGGUUUCCAACCAUUGAGGAGCUAUACAAAAUAUCUAAACUAGCUCAACUCAUGCUUCAAAAUCACAGUUCCAAAAGUGGUUCCCUGUAAGGAAAACAAAGAUAACGGAACGGGGUGAGUUAGAAGCUCAAUGAGGUACCAAAAGCAUAACAGUGGAAAUCAUGAGAAAAAACUUUUAGGGCAUACAUACACAUCAAAUAAGAGAAAAAAACGAACACCACUGAUAGGGUGCAAUUUAUUCAUUUAUUUUAUUAUUAAUUCCUCCUAUUACCUGACUUGAUGUGGAUUUAUUUGCUGGAUUCUACUCACUUUUAGUAUUUGACGUUUAUUUCAGGGAGUAGAAUAUAAAUAUGAUAACAGGUGCCAAAUUGGGAAAAAAAAGAAUUCAGAUGAGAAAGCUUGUCCCAGGGGCACUUUUGGAAGAGAAGAUGUCAUGCCCAUUUUGGUAAUUUUCGCAAGGAAAUGACGGACGGAGGGCUUCGCUUCCUGUGGAGGUCCCGCCGCAAUUAAAAGAGGGAAAGGCAGCAACCCUGUGGGAGCUAGCUUGUUCUUGAUUCUCCGUCUGGAGCUUAGCAGCAAUUUUUGACUUUUCCCUUGUAAUUCACUUUUUGGCUUGAGAAGCCUACGGAUGUUAGGAAGAAAAGGCAUUUGUUAGCCUCGGGCUUUGACUUUUCCUUUUCCUCUCUUUUGAAUCCUGCGCAUGGCAGGAGCAUUGGAGAAUUGUUUCUUUUGACUUUUUUCUUUAGCUUGAGACGAAGUGAAAACCACGAACUUUCGUAGCUUUUCUAUUCAUUCGAUAUAUUGAGACGAAUUGGAUUUUGCCAAAUUUCAACGGACAUGGCCGCUGGUUUCUCUGCAAUUUUGUGUGGGUUUAGUUCAUCAAUUAUGAACUAAUUUUUCCACUCUAGUCAAAGAGCAAUGGAUGCUUUGGGUCACCUAAAAUUGUGAGAUCAUUCUAAUUUAAUCUUUUCCUUUUAUUUAUCGGUAUUCGCAUAUUCCUUGAUUGCUAAGCUUAUGGUUAUUUAAUUAAUUGGUUGUCUUGGAUCCGGAUAAUUAAUUGAUUGGGUAAUCUAUUGUCAAUUGGGGUAUUAAAUUCGUAAUUGUUUAAUUGCCUCAAAAUAGUGACAGCUGGCAUGAUUAGAUUUGUGUCAGGGGAUUACGUGGGCUAAUCUAAAAUAACCCUGGUAGUGCGUUAUUUGGUUAGAAUAGGGCUCCUCUAAUACGUAAGGCAAUUGGGAAAUUAAAUCUUACGGGCGUACCUAGGAUUAUUUCUCAGUUAGAGCAGUGAUUAACGGGCGUACCUUGAUCACCGACACAGUAAGGAGGAGUUGGCUGCCAUCGCUUGUUUGGUAGUUAUAACCUAUUUAUUGGUAAAUAAGUGGGAUUGGCUUUGCAUCAAUGAUCAAUUAGGCGAACCAUUGCUGAAGUUACUUCUUGGCUAGAUCUUUAGUUAAUAUUUUCUUGAUUGUAGUGGAUUGCCAUUUGACUUUUAAUUGCCUACUUUAUUUUAUUUUUGAUUGUUUCCUCGUUUUAAUUAAUUUAGGCCUUUAAUUAUUGUUAUCCUGAGUUCAGAAAAUUGUGGUUUAAUUUCUAGUUAGUUGUUUAUUUUUACUUUCCCAUUUGAAUUUAUUUAAUUAUCGUCGUUCCUACAAAAUCACCCCCUGUGUCACUUUGGAUUUCUUAAGAAACGAAUAUACCCAAUCUCUGUGGAUACGACCCUACUUACCCUGUCUACAAAUUCAUAAUCACUUGUGAAAAGGAAUAACCAUUCCAUUCGGGUAUAUCGGAUCAAGCAAAUUUUUCGGGAACAGGGUGAAUCAAGUAACCCAUUGCACACCUAGAGUCCCUGCUCCAGUACUUGGAAUUGGAUUUUGGUCAUUUUAACUGGCAAUUAGGUUUAAUUUUAUUAUUGCACAGGCUGACGACCUGUCAAUUUUUGACGCCGCUGCCGGGGACUGGCGUUAUUAUUUGUUUCUUUUUAAAUUCAAUUUUUGUCUUAAUUUUCUGGUUUUCUUCUAGUGUAUGCCUCGAUCUUCUCGCACAGGUGAUUUGGUUUUUGACCCUGAGGUAGAGAAGACCGCGCGUAGAACGAGAAAGGAAACCAGACAGCUCAGAGAAGAGCACUCUAGUGCUACAUCUCAAAGACCCGAGUCAGAAGUUGAACCAACAGAUUCGUUUGGUAACACUUCGAGUGACUCUGACCAGGAGGAGUUCACCAUGGCUAAUGCACAAACAUUAAGGGAGUUGGCUGCUCCUGAUUUAACUCAGCAGCCUUUGUGCAUUACUUUCCCCGCUUUAAAUGACAACAUUCCAUUUGAACUAAAAUCUGGUCUGAUUCAGCUUUUACCCUCUUUUCAUGGUUUACCAGGUGAAGAGCCGUAUAAGCAUCUGCAGGAGUUUGAUGUCGUGUACAAUAGUAUGAAACCCCCAGAAAUCACAGAAGAGCAGAUAAAAAUGAGGGCAUUCCCCUUCUCCUUGAAAGAUUCUGCGAAGGACUGGCCGUACUACCUGUCACCAGGUAGCAUCACCACGUGGGGCCAAUUGAAGAAAAAAUUUCUGGAUAAAUAUUUUCCUGCGUCCAGGGCUGCAAGUCUAAGGAAGGAAAUUUGUGGGAUCAAGCAGCAUCCAGGGGAGUCACUUUACGAGUAUUGGGAACGGUAUAAGAACUUGUUGCGCAGGUGCCCCCAACACCAAAUAAGUGAGCAGUUGAUCAUACAAUAUUUUUAUGAGGGGCUCAUUUUUAGAGACAGGAGCAUCAUUGAUGCUGCAAGUGGAGGGGCACUGGUGAACAAAACCCCUCAGGAAGCACGGGAGCUAAUAGAGGGGAUGACAGAGAAUUCACAGCAAUUCAGUACAAGAGAGGAUGUCCCAAUACGUAGGGUGAAUGAGGUAGAGACACCCUCUAUACAGCAGCAGCUAAAUGAGUUAACUGCGUUUGUUAGGCAACAGGCUGUGAGAAAUGCAUCACAAGCCAGGGUAUGCGGGAUUUGCACUGGUAUAGGCCACUCUGCAGACAUGUGCCCAAUGAUUCAGGAAGAAACUGCAGAACAGGUGAAUAUGGCUGACCACGAGCCCGCGCCAAGGAAGCAGUACGACCCUUACUCAAACACCUACAACCCCGGGUGGAGAGAUCAUCCCAACCUCAAUUAUCGAGGGAAUAGGCAAUCCAACUUCACGCCGAACAGGCAGUCUAACUUUGUGCCGAAUAAGCCACCAGGGUACCAGCAGCAAUACCAACCCCGACCACCUCCGCCACCUCAAUCUGGUUCAUCUACGGAGGAGAUGCUGAAACAAAUGAUGACAACCAUGGCGCAAAAUCAGCAAAGGACGGAGGCAGCUAUUAUGCAAAAUCAGCAAAAGACGGACUCCGAAAUGCAGGACAUAAGGAAUCAGAUAGGUCAAAUGGCCACCAGAAUUAAUAGUUUGGAGUCCCAGAACCAAGGGAAGCUGCCAUCUCAACCGGAGUUGAAUCCGAAGAACGUGAGCGCAAUGACCCUAAGGAGUGGGAAAGAAAUUCAGGGGCCUGAACCUGUGAUUUCCAAGGACAAGGAUGAAGAGAAGAUCGAAAAUGAUCUUGAAAGGGAGGACAGCAAUGGUGCAGAUCCAAAGGUACUUCAUGACCCAAUAAUUACAGUUAAAACUAACCCACCUCCUUUUCCUAGCAGGUUGGAAAAAUCGAAGAAACAGGAUAAGGAAAAGGAGAUCUUGGAGGUUUUUCGCAAGGUUGAGAUAAAUAUCCCCCUCUUGGACGCCAUCAAACAAGUACCAAAAUAUGCCAAGUUCCUAAGGGACUUGUGUGUAAACCGAAGGCGAUUGAGGGGAGAUGAACGGGUCAUAGUUGGGAAAAAUGUGUCUGCGGUCCUGCAGAGAAAGCUCCCACCAAAGUGCGGGGACCCAGAUAUGUUUACUAUUCCCUGUAAGAUAGGUAAUACUGUGAUCAGAAGGGCCAUGUUGGAUUUGGGAGCAUCAAUAAAUGUCAUGCUUAAGUCUAUCUAUGCUUCUCUAAAAUUAGGUCCAUUAAAAGAAACUGGAAUAAUCAUUCAAUUAGCUGACCGAACUAAUGCAUAUCCUGAUAGGUUGGUUGAAGAUGUGUUGGUAAAAGUUAAUGAUUUGGUGUUUCCAGCUGAUUUUUAUGUACUUGAUAUGGAUGAUGAUCACUCCCCUGAUUCCUCACCUCUGUUAUUGGGUAGACCUUUUAUGAGCACAGCACAGACGAAAAUUGAUGUUAAUAAGGGUAUUCUGUCCAUGGAGUUUGAUGGGAAAAUUGUGCAUUUUAAUAUUUUUGAUACUAUGAAGUACCCCUCGAACUCCAACUUUAGCUCAGUUUUUUCUGUGAGUGCUAUUGACCCUGUAGUACAGGAAGUGUUUGAAACUGAUGGCAGGGAUGAGAUGGAGGUGGCUUUAACCAAGCACCUCGAGUUGGAGACAACUCCUCAGGUGGAGUGGAGUGAGGAUUUAGAAUGCACAAUAGGUGCAUUACACUCGUUGCAGACCACCACGAAAAGGUAUGAAGUCUUACCUAUUUUUACUCCCGAGCCUCACCAGAGGGUAUUGCCAUCUGUGGUGCAGGCACCUGUACUGGAGUUGAAACCUCUACCAGAGCACCUGAAAUAUGCAUAUCUAGGUGAUAAUGAGACACUCCCGGUGAUUAUCUCAUCGGCACUGUCAAAAAUCCAAGAAGAGAAAUUGAUCCGGGUCCUUAGAGAGCAUAAAGAGGCGAUAGGUUGGACAAUUGCAGACAUUAAGGGAAUCAGCUCGGCCGUCUGUAUGCAUCGGAUUAGACUAGAAGAGGAUGCCAAACCUGUUAGGCAGGCUCAAAGAAGGCUCAACCCCCUCAUGAUGGAAGUUGUAAAGAAAGAGAUUCUAAAAUUGCUAGAUGUGGGGAUCAUCUUUGCAAUAUCUGAUAGCUCUUGGGUGAGUCCGGUCCAGGUAGUUCCAAAGAAGGCAGGAGUAACGGUAGAAGCCAACCAAACGGGUGAGCUCGUGCCAGUGCGCAAACCCACUAGAUGGAGGCAAUGUAUAGACUACCGUAGGCUAAACGCCGUCACCAAAAAGGACCAUUUUCCUCUCCCUUUCAUUGAUCAGAUAGUUGAACGUUUAGCUGGUAGAGCUUAUUAUUGCUUUUUGGAUGGAUUUUCAGGAUACUUUUAGAUAGCAAUUGCCCCAGAGGAUCAAGAGAAGACAACCUUCACGUGCCCGUUCGGGACCUUUGCUUAUAGACGAAUGCCAUUUGGGUUAUGCAAUGCACCUGCAACAUUCCAGAGGUGUAUGGUAAGUAUUUUUUCUGAAUAUGUGGAGAAAAUUAUUGAAGUUUUCAUGGACGAUUUCAGUGUGUAUGGUGAUAGUUUUGACACUUGUUUAGAUAACCUGAAAUUGAUCCUGAUAAGGUGUAUAGAGACUAAUCUUGUGCUUAAUUGGGAAAAAUGUCAUUUUAUGGUUGAGCAUGGGAUAGUCCUGGGUCAUAUUGUAUCGUCUAAGGGCAUAGAAGUUGACAGGGCUAAAAUAUACAUUAUCUCUGCAUUACCUUACCCCGCGAGUGUGCGGGAGGUGCGUUCUUUUCUUGGACAUGCAGGUUUUUAUCGAAGGUUCAUCAAGGAUUUUUCAAAAAUUGGAGCCCCGUUGUUCCAACUUCUACAAAAGGAUGUGACCUUCGAAUUCGAUGAUAAGUGUGAGGAAGCUUUCAACAAGUUAAAAGAAUUGUUGACUUCACCCCCAGUUAUCCAGCCCCCUGACUGGAGUCUACCAUUUGAGAUCAUGUGCGAUGCCAGUGAUCAGGCCGUAGGGGCUGUAUUGGGGCAAAGAGUAGGGAAGGCAGCUCACGUCAUCUAUUAUGCAUCCUGGGCAUUGAAUGGAGCCUAGUUGAAUUACUCCACCACUGAGAAGGAACUUCUUGCAGUUAUUUUUGCUUUAGAAAAAUUCAGGUCAUAUUUGCUAGGUGCUAAAGUAAUUGUAUUUUCUGACCAUGCAGCAUUAAGGUACCUAAUGACCAAGAAAGAUGCAAAGCCGAGGCUCAUCAGGUGGAUAUUGCUACUACAGGAAUUUGACCUGGAGAUAAGAGACAAAAAAGGCUCAGAAAAUCUAGUAGCAGACCAUUUAAGUCGCAUACCAAUUGGGGAGGAUAAUGAGCCGUUGAGGGAUGCAUUCCCUGAAGAGCAUUUAUUUUCCUUAAAUUCUCAAUUGCCUUGGUAUGCUGAUUUGGUAAAUUAUCUAGUAACGGGUGAUUUUCCUGCAGGUUGGCCAAAAUCGAAGAAAGAUAAAUUGAAGAGUGACGCCAAGUAUUUCAUCUGAGACGACCCAUACCUAUGGAAAAGAUGUGGCGACCAAAUAAUGAGGAGAUGUGUAAGUGAAGUGGAGUUUCAAUCAAUUUUAGCUUUUUGUCAUACUUUUGCCUGUGGAGGUCAUUUUGGACCUAAGAGAACUGCUCAUAAGAUUUUAGAAAGUGGAUUUUAUUGGCUUUCAUUGUUUAAAGAUGCCUAUGUGUUUUGUAAGUCCUGUGAUCGCUGUCAAAGAGUAGGUAAUAUAUCCCGCAGGGAUCAAAUGCCCCAGGUCCCGUUGAUUUUUGUUGAAAUUUUUUAUGUCUGGGGUAUAGAUUUCAUGGGACCUUUUCCUACUUCAUUUGGUUAUUUAUAUAUUUUGUUGGCAGUUGAUUAUGUGUCUAAAUGGGUGGAGGCUAAGGCCACUCGGACUAAUGAUUCGAGAAUAGUUACAGAUUUUAUCAGGUCUAAUAUUUUUGUACGAUUUGGAAUGCCUAGAACUAUUGUCAGUGAUAGGGGAACGCACUUUUGCAACAAAACCAUAGCUGCGUUGUUUCGCAAGUAUGGUGUACUCCACCGGGUCUCAACGUCAUACCACCCUCAGACCAACGGUCAAGCGGAGGUGUCAAAUCGGGAGAUUAAGUCCAUUUUAGAGAAAAUGGUGCGCCCUGAUAGGAAAGAUUGGAGCCAAAGGUUGGAGGACGCACUCUGGGCCUAUCGGACGGCGUACAAGACUCCUAUAGGGAUGUCACCAUACAGGUUGGUAUUUGGGAAGCCGUGUCACCUUCCAGUGGAGUUCGAGCACAAGGCUUUUUGGGCGAUAAAGCAAUGUAAUAUGAAUCUAGAAGAGGCCGGUGUUCAACGGAAGCUGGAUUUGCAAGAAUUGGAGGAGAUCAGGAACGAAGCAUACGAAAACGCCUUGAUUUAUAAGGAGAAAAGCCGGGCAUUUCAUGACCAACAAAUUUCACGAAGAACAUUUGAAGUUGGUCAGAAGGUCCUCCUAUACCAAUCAAGGCUCAAGCUAUUCCCAGGUAAGCUACGUUCCCGUUGGAUUGGACCUUUUAUUGUAACUCAUGUUUUUCCCUAUGGUGCAGUUGAAAUCCAGAGUGCUAAGACAGACAACAAAUUUGUGGUGAAUGGACACCGUCUCAAGUAUUAUUACGAAGGAUUUUCAGGUGGAGAGGUGGAGACAAUAAGGCUAGACGCACCACCGUGUCCUAAUCAAUGACACUUUACCAUGUCUAGCCAAAGACAUUAAAGAAAGGCGCUAAUUGGGAGGCAACCCAAUUGUUUCUGUCAAUUACUUGUUGGUUUCGGGUCAUAGUUUAAAUCUAUUUUCCCUUUAAUUUGACUGAUUUUGAGUUUCAGUUUUCGUUUUUGCUGAUUUUUAGGUGUCCUUCAGUCUUGACGCGCCCGCGUGGUGAUGUGCAGGACGCUCACGAUCAGGAAAUUCUGAACUUCUGGGAGCUCUCCUGCCCUCAUGACGUGCCCGCGUGGUGAUGUGCAGGACGCUCACGAUCAGGAAAUUCUGAACUUCUGGGAGCUCUCCUGCCCUCAUGACGUGCCCGCGUGGUGAUGUGCAGGACGCUCACGAUCAGAAAAUUCUGAAACUUCUGGGAGCUCUUUUGGCCUCAUGACGUGCCCGCGUCACGUUCGCGGGAAAGGUAAGGAUUCAAAUAAAUAAAAAAAAAUGAAAAAAAAAUUGAAAAAAAAUAUAGAAAAACUAUUAUUAUUAUUUCAGUUAUUCAAAUAAUAAUAAAAAAAAAUUUCCUCUUAACCGUAGCAAUUUCUUUUAUAUAAAAAAAAAAAUUUCCUCUUAACCGUAGCAAUUUCUUUUAUUUAAAAAAAAAAAAAUUUCCUUCUUUUCUUUUCUUUCUUUCUUCUUUCUCUCUUCUUUCUUUCUUUGUUCUCCGCUGCUGUUUCCUCCUGUCGACUUGAUCCAGUCGUCGACCCAUCAACCGCCGCUUCCUCCACCUAGCCACGCCAAGCAGCCGCACGCCGCCGCUGCUGUAGCGCGCAGCCCAGAAGCAGCUCGCGCGCAAACCAGACCCUCCGCCCGCGCGCCUCUGCUGCUCACGCCACCGCCGCCCACUGACGAAUCUUCUCCGCCACCAGAUCUGCGCGGCGGCCGAAGUUUCUCCCACCAUCGCGCGCCCCAAAUCGCGCGCUCCGCCGCUCUUCGACCGCGCACGCGCCACGCCUUCCCCGCGCUGCUGCUCCUGCCGCAGCUCUUCCCUCACGCAACCACAGCCGUACCAGCCACAGCAGACCGCAGCCCCCUCUCACUCCAGCUUCACGACACAGCUAGCUGCUCUAUCUGCAGACUGGCGGGGUACUAGUGGAGGUAUUUGGACUUUAUUCCCCAAUUUUUGAUAUCUAAUUGGUACUGCCUGGGUUGAUAACUAGUUGCUAUUGUCAACGGUUGGAGGUUAUUUCUCGAUUGUGUGAUUUCCUCCAGUAGUACUGGUUGGUCUAUUCUUGCUUGGAACUGCUAUUUCUCUUGGGGUGUGUUAAAUUGUGCAAUUAAUUGGCCAACUGGAGCCAUUUGUUGGGACUUUGGGUGAGCUAAAUUGCUGUGAUUGGUUGUUGACUUUGGGCGACACUUUUUGGGUUUUUAGUUGGGUUAUUUCUGAAAUUUCUUGUUGCUUUGGAGAGACUGGCCGCAUGCUCUACUUGUUGAGAUUGGUAAUAUUCAGUUUAAUUACUUGUUGAAUUGCUGAUUUUGAGGGGUCUUCCUGUAUCGGGCAUUGGGCAUUGCUACUUGCUCAAACUCCUCUUUUUGUUAUUGGUUGGGUCCUUCCUGGGGAAUUAUUGUUGUGAUCUGCUGAGUUUCCUUUGCUAGUUACAUUUGCUGGUUUCUAUACCUGUUGAAGCUUCUUGUUGGUUUGAGUUCACUGUGGGAGGACAUGGUGCGACCGAAGUCAUCCUCUAGGUCUAGGGCCUCUCAGUCUCAACCCCCUCCACAGGCAUCUAUUCCGGUGAAUACACCUACCAACCUACCGUAUUCUUCUAAUGUCCGAACCCGCUUGGGUAGGGGUAGGGUGCUCAGGUAGAUACCCCAGCUCACUUUGGAGGGCACUUGACCUUAACCAGACCUGCGGAUCAGCAGAGGUAUGCCAAAGUCUGUGAGCGGCGUAUCAUACCUUGUAAGACUAGUGACAAAUUAAGCAUGAUGGGCCUAGGCAUACGAGAGGAGGUCGAGCAGAUGUUUACAGCCAUCGGGUGGCGCCCAUAUCUCUAUAUCUUCUGUCCCGCAUUUGUCGAGCUGACUCGGGAGUUUUAUGCUACCUUUGAGUUUGAGUUGCCCUCGAGGUUCACCGUUGCGACACCUAAUGUCAUUCGCUUCCGUCUGAUGGGUCGGGAAUUUAAUUUUUCGAUUACCGAAUUUAAUUUGGCAUUCGGAUUCAUUACUCGAGAGUAUGCGGAGACGAGGGAGUAUAGUGAGAGUGCCUGUAACUAUGUAGAGCCAUUCCUCUCCCGCUACCAUGAUGUAUGGGAGGAAAUAUCCGUCGAUGGGGAGCGCUACGAUCCUUCUCGAUCUAGGAGUUCCUUUCUUAAGGACCCUAGUGCCCGCUAUGUUCAGCGAUUUUUAGCCUGCAGCUACUCAGGGCGCAAGGACAGCUCCGGUAUACUCUCUCGCCCCGAGUUUUUCUUCCUCUGGAGCAUGAAGAACAACAUCAAGGUCAAUUUGGGGUGUUGGUUGGCGGCGCAGUUCAAGACGGUUCUGACCAAGAAGAACAAACCUCUGAUCCUUGGGUCCUUUAUCACUCACUUGGCGACCGAGCUAGGGGUUCUUGACUUGGAGGACCAUGACCUACAUUUGGCAUUCGAGAUAGAGCUCUUGGAUGUGGAUUGCUUAGAGAGGAUGGGAAUCGUCGAGCGCUUGCCCGAUGGUUCCUACCAGUUUACCCCUCCGGGACCACCUCGAGCUCCGGGUGCACGCCCUACGCCCCGACCAGGACCCUCUUCCUUUCAUGAGUCGGCCGAGGACACGGCUGGGCCGUCAUCUUCUGCACCACCUCCACGCCGUGGGACUUCUGAAUGGCAGCAACUCCAGGAGCAGGUUCAGGAUUUGCAGGCCCGAAUGAACAACGUCGACGCCAAUGUCGCAGGCAUAGCACAGAAUUUGGCGCAGUUUCUGAUGCAUACAGGCUUUGCACCUCCAUUCCCACCUCGCCCUCCGCUAUGACCCAAUUUCAGGGAAGUUUGGCUAAUUCCCUCUCACUUUUGCUUCACUUUUGGCUUUUAUUUGUCACAUUGAGGACAAUGUGUCCUAUAGGUGUGGGGGGGGAUCUAAAGUUAUGCAAGUGUGCUCCGUUUUUAGUAGUUUUCAGUUUUCAGCUUUUCAUUUUAGUAGUUUUUAGUGUUUUUAGUUUUAGUAAUUUUAGUUUGUAGUUUUUAGUUUUUUUAAGUUUUUAGCUUUGGGUUUUAGUUUUUAGCCGUUUUUCGUUUUAUUUUCUUUUUGUUCAUUCUCUUUCAAUCUUGAUCUUGUUGGUUAAUGUGAAAAAAAAAGAAAAAAAAAAGAAAAAGAAAAAGAAAAGUGAGUUUUUAGUUUUAGUAGUUUUUCGUAGUUUCAUUUCUAGUUGCUCGUUUUCGUUCUUUCUUCUUGGUGCUUACCCUUCAUGUGAAUGCUAAAAGUUGAGAUGUGGACUUAUUGACUCCAAGUCUACUUUUGCCAAGUUUUUAAAAUACAAAAUGUAUCGGGUUAAUGUGGUUGGAUCCAGAAUAUCUUCCUGGUGAAUAUCGAAUUGCUCGGCUCCUUUGAUUUCUGUGAUUAAUUUCUCUAGGCAUGGGGAAUGACUGUUGGCAUUUUAAUGUGAACUGGUCCAAUAUUGACUCCAGUUCUCUAUGUUUGACAAUAAUGAGGCGAGCUGUUCCUAUUUUUGGUUCUUAGUGUUGUUAGUAUGUGUUUUUGGCUUUGCUUGGCUGUGAAUAAGCUUGACUGUACUCCGCUAUUAAGUUACUACUGAGUAACCGGGGAUCGGCACCUAAAAGUGUCGAUUCUCGCGACAAAAGGUGGUACUUUAUAUGAGUACGUGGUCGUAUAGCGGUAGGAGCUGAGUAACCGGGCUCCUUCAUUUAAAAAUGUUGGAGUUCGCGUCAAAAUGCCCCGACGGCUAACGACUAAGUCUUUUUGUAUUAAUUAUUAUUGUUCUGAAAAAAAAGGAAAAAAAAUGAAAAAAAGAGAGAAUAAAUAAUGGGAAGGCUUGCUGGUUUUUGGACUUAAUAUGGAGACUUGUGUGAAUAUUUGGACCGUUAGCUGAUAAAUGUUGUGCGCCAUUCCCUUUUCUUAGAGUAGUUAACCUGGAAAUUGAAGGAAUUGGCAGUUUAGGGGCUAACCGGGGGGAUGCUUCUUGGAUUCUAAUCACCAAUGCUCGAUAUGUGUUUUUCUCUUGAAUGUCUUGGCAAUAUAGGAGAUUGGGCAAUGGCCAUCGUCGAAUUUUGGUGUUCGUUUACUUUUCUUAUGCUUGAGGACAAGCAUGGUUUAGGUGUGGGGGGAAUUGAUAGGGUGCAAUUUAUUCAUUUAUUUUAUUAUUAAUUCCUCCUAUUACCUGACUUGAUGUGGAUUUAUUUGCUGGAUUCUACUCACUUUUAGUAUUUGACGUUUAUUUCAGGGAGUAGAAUAUAAAUAUGAUAACAGGUGCCAAAUUGGGAAAAAAAAGAAUUCAGAUGAGAAAGCUUGUCCCAGGGGCACUUUUGGAAGAGAAGAUGUCAUGCCCAUUUUGGUAAUUUUCGCAAGGAAAUGACGGACGGAGGGCUUCGCUUCCUGUGGAGGUCCCGCCGCAAUUAAAAGAGGGAAAGGCAGCAACCCUGUGGGAGCUAGCUUGUUCUUGAUUCUCCGUCUGGAGCUUAGCAGCAAUUUUUGACUUUUCCCUUGUAAUUCACUUUUUGGCUUGAGAAGCCUACGGAUGUUAGGAAGAAAAGGCAUUUGUUAGCCUCGGACUUUGACUUUUCCUUUUCCUCUCUUUUGAAUCCUGCGCAUGGCAGGAGCAUUGGAGAAUUGUUUCUUUUGACUUUUUUCUUUAGCUUGAGACGAAGUGAAAACCAUGAACUUUCGUAGCUUUUCUAUUCAUUCGAUAUAUUGAGACGAAUUGGAUUUUGCCAAAUUUCAACGGACAUGGCCGCUAGUUUCUCUGCAAUUUUGUGUGGGUUUAGUUCAUCAAUUAUGAACUAAUUUUUCCACUCUAGUCAAGGAGCAAUGGAUGCUUUGGGUCACCUAAAAUUGUGAGAUCAUUCUAAUUUAAUAUUUUCCUUUUAUUUAUCGGUAUUCGCAUAUUCCUUGAUUGCUAAGCUUAUGGUUAUUUAAUUAAUUACUUGUCUUGGAUCCGGAUAAUUAAUUGAUUGGGUAAUCUAUUGUCAAUUGGGGUAUUAAAUCCGUAAUUGUUUAAUUACCUCAAAAUAGUGACAAUUGGCAUGAUUAGAUUUGUGUCAGGGGAUUACGUGGGCUAAUCUAAAAUAACCCUGGUAGUGCGUUAUUUGGUUAGAAUAGGGCUCCUCUAAUACGUAAGGCAAUUGGGAAAUUAAAUCUUACGGGCGUACCUAAGAUUAUUUCUCAAUUAGAGCAGUGAUUAACGGGCGUACCUUGAUCACCGACACAGUAAGGAGGAGUUGGCUGCCAUCGCUUGUUUGGUAGUUAUAACCUAUUUAUUGGUAAAUAAGUGGGAUUGGCUUUGCAUCAAUGAUCAAUUAGGUGAACCAUUGCUGAAGUUACUUCUUGGCUAGAUCUUUAGUUAAUAUUUUCUUGAUUGUAGUGGAUUGCCAUUUGACUUUUAAUUGCCUACUUUAUUUUAUUUUUGAUUGUUUCCUCGUUUUAAUUAAUUUAGGCCUUUAAUUAUUGUUAUCCUGAGUUCAGAAAAUUGUGGUUUAAUUUCUAGUUAGUUGUUUAUUUUUACUUUCCCAUUUGAAUUUAUUUAAUUAUCGUCGUUCCUACAAAAUCACCCCCUGUGUCACUUUGGAUUUCUUAAGAAACGAAUAUACCCAGUCUCUGUGGAUACGACCCUACUUACCCUGUCUACAAAUUCAUAAUCACUUGUGAAAAGGAAUAACCAUUCCAUUCGGGUAUAUCGGAUCAAGCAAACUUUUCGGGAAUAGGGUGAAUCAAGUAACCCAUUGCACACCUAGAGUCCCUGCUCCAGUACUUGGAAUUGGGUUUUGGUCAUUUUAACUGGCAAUUAGGUUUAAUUUUAUUAUUGCACAGGCUGACGACCUGUCAACCACAAUUUAAAGGAUACAGGUGGCCCUCAGGAGCCAAAUCCCCGUUGCAAUACUUGAUCCAGCUUCGUUGACUCUCCGUCAAUGUUGAAUAACACACUCAUGUCGGUAGACCCCUCUUACGCCAAAAUCCCGUUCACCAAACAUACCCCUUAUCGGGCCCGAACGCCGAACAGGAACAGUAGUGGUACUACUCGAGUAUACCGGAAUCAAGAGUCUCAAUACCCAAAGAUUAUCCAGGAACAGGUACCCAUGGAUUGUCAAUUAUCUUGACCAAGCACCUGCUGGCUCGAUUUAAUUAACUCCGCAUGAGGUUGAGCUCAAGUUUAACAGAAAGAUCAUUGGACACACUUCCAAACGAUCUCAUAAUAAGUGCAAGUAGCAAGUUCAAGUACAUAACAAGUACAAGUAAUAGAUUCCAGUUCAUUCAGUACAGGCAAGAGAACGAGUGUGAUAAAGUACACCCUCGUCUCAUUCAGAAUAACAGAGUUUCAUAGUUAUCCAUGUCACACAUUUCAAGUAUAGAUGAACCAAUUAAACAACAAUUCAAGGGAGUGAUACACUCACCUAUUAAGGCGAAAUAACGUCCAGAAUAUCUUUCCGAGUAACACUCUCAAUCACCGAUGAACCCUAAGGUUAAUCAAGAGAAAAUAUUACAGUUCCUCUAGCAAAAGUUAGGUGAAUCGAAAACAAUUCAAAUACUACUAGUACAAAGUAUAAAUAUGAUUUUGGAAGUGAAAAGAGUACAUUUAAACCAAAGGACAUGAGUAAAAUAUUUGGAAAACUUAUGCUCGCUCGUAAAACUUUGAAAUAUCCAUUUGAGUUGAAGAAAUGAAGAAAAUGUAUUUCUAUUAAUUGUAAAUUUCAUUUUUUCCAAGUGUACAAGUUUUAGCCAGGCUUGAACUUAUAUACCUCGAUAAAAGAAGAUGCAAAUAUCCUAGAUGGUUUAUAUGGUAUUCGCUCUCAAAUCGUUGCCUAAUCCUCGAGCGUAAAUUUGGGCAGCACACAUUUUAUAUUUACCUAUGUUCCAGCCACUUAUGGCUUCAUUAUUUUCCUCAAUCAACUCCAAAGUCAUACACAAUAUAAAUUCAUCACAACAGCCAUUCAAUAGGCUCAAAGUCAUUCAAGUACAAGAUUUAACUAGGAAAAUGACCGGAAAUGAGCUUUAAGCUAAGAAACCAAAAAGGCAGAUUCACCACUACUUAGCGUAUCGGACAUAACCGAAACUACGCUUAUUGGAUUGAAGUCCAAGUUAUACCGUUUCGAAGCUAAGACAGAGGGUUAUAACUUUGAUGAAGACUACUUAGUCCAAUUCUCACCCUAACUAGGUCAAGUUUACCAAAAUAACCCCAGAUUUUCCAGUUCGAAGCUCAUUGCGAAAUUCAACUAGCAGUUCUGAUUCAUUCAAUCAUAUCUCAACACACCCAACUCCGAUUCAGGUAAUUCCAAAGCCAUUUGAAAGUAAGAUACAAGGCUAUAAUUCUUAAGGAGAUUUCGACAAUCAAUUCGGUAAUAUUCCUGGUCAAACUAACCACUUACAGAGGCUGAUUAUCAUUUUUGACAGAUACAUGGCAGCAGGGGUAAUUUUGUCAUUUCACAAGAUACCCUACUCCGAUUGAGCUGAAAUUUUGUAGGAAGCUAGUUAACAUCAUUUUCUACAACUUUCAUGUUUUAAGCUAAGGCUGAUUCGGCUUCUAACAUGCUCAAAUAAAGACAGACAGAACAGGGAAAAUUAGAACCCUAAAGCUGAAAUUUCCGUACAAAACUGAAAUUUUCCGCAAACAAUCGUAACUAACAUAUACAAGCUCCAUUUUACACCAUAACAAGCUAUCAUACCAUGAUUAAACCAUAAUCAUCCCAUAAAAUCAGAAAAAUCUCCAUUAGAUCAGAAAUUCAACAAACACUAGUUCAACCCAUGAAGUCUUCCACAAAUUAACAUGUUAGACCACUAGAAACCACUAAUCUUUCCUUAUUAAGAACAAAAAGGAGAUUUCUUAGCAACUUACCUUUACAACUCAAGAAAGAUGGCAACUUAGCACCUCCACUUCUAAAACCACUCCACCACCUUCUUCAAUCCUAUCUAGCAAUAGGUUUUUAUGGAGGAAUUUGAAGUUUAAAUGGUUGGAUCAAGAGAUUAAACAAGAGAAUAGAAGGUAAAAGUUGAGGAAUUUUCUCUCUUUUCUCUCUAUGUUGUUCGGCCAAGAGAAAGAAAAAUGAAGAUGAAAUUGGUCAAAAUUCAUGUUUAGUAAAUGUGAAAGAAAGUAGUCAAAGUCCACCCUCCAAUCAAAACGCGGCACCUAGCACCUUUUAGGUUUAACACUUAUCCUUUUGUCUCUCCUAACAAAUUAAUCUAGCUAACCUCUAGUUAUCUCCUAGCACCUAGUCAAUUAAUCCCUUAAUGCAAAACUGAAUCUAAUUGGUCGAAUUAACCGCACUUAACGCACUAGCGGGUCCCACGUCCACUAUACACUUCAAAUAUCUCAUGAACUAACUUAUACUAGAAAAAUAAUUUAAAAACUGUAUUUACUUAUAAAAAUAUCUCUAAAGUUAACAUAAUAACAAAAAUGUAGAAAACGGGUACAACGAAAGAAAAUAAGGCCUAGAAAUUCAGAAAAUUUUCGAGUUCUCACACUCUCUCCCCCUUAAAAGAAUUUCGUCCUCGAAAUUUUUUAUCAUCGCCUUCUUCGGGAUACAAAACUUUUAUUACUUCCUUCUCACAAUCAAAUUGAGCACCGUACUUAGUUAACCAAUCAGUAUCCCUUCACUAGCCAAGCUCAUUGAAUUUUUCGUAUAGUUUUUUCUUCCUUCUCAAAGUGAAAUUCUUAUACACCAUUCUAGUGGUCGUACGGUGGAAUACCAGAAUCUUACCUUCCACGUCUUCAAACGAGUCAGGGGCUUGAUGUUGCUAUAGGGCAUACGCCCGAGCCGACACCUUUUGUCCAUCCUUCUUCCCCUUCGACUGGUCAGGGUUGGUCGUGGUUGGUUGUUGGUUCCUACUCCCUUCUCGAGAUCGGCCUGCGCAGUUUGCAAUUUGAUGAUCUGCGCUCCCACAACGCAAACAUUUUCUUCCUUUCUUCCAACAGACUCCUCCGUGUGAUUCGGCUUCCCACAGUAACCGCAGGGACCACGGGAAGUGGAGACUGAGCCUCUCUGUGAGGCACCACUUGACAUCCCUGGUAGUUGUACUCCCCCGUUGCCCCUUCCAAUCUUAGGAGGCGUACCCUUAUCCCCUUGCUCUGAGCUACUUCCAAGAAAUCCUCUUUUCUUAGUUUGGAAGUUUCUAACUUGUAACCUCGCGCUUUCAACUCGUUGAACUUUCUCCACCGCAUCACUAAAGGCAUUGAGUUGGGCUAUCGCCAAGUCCUUCUGAAUCUCAACAUUUAAUCUCUGGACAAAACGCCUUAUCCUCCAUUGUUCGGUCACAAUUAGUUCGGGAACGAACUUAGACAACCUGGUGAACUGGCUCUCACAUUCGGUGACACUUUGAGUUCCCUGCCGAAGCCUAAUGAAUUCAUCUUCUUUCUUUUCCUAGAUCAGAGGUGGGAAAUACUUCGUGUUGAACUCUCUCAUAAAAUUCACCCACGUCCUUGGGGUUUGUUCUCUUUCCUAUUUCAGUCUUAUGAUAUUCCAUCAAGAACAGGCUGCUCCCUCCAGUUGAAAGACGGCAAAUAUUACCUGUCGCUCCUCAGUAUAAUGUAGCGUGGCAAAAAUAUCAAUCAUCUUCUCUAGCCACCUCUCGGCCACAUCAGGGUUGGGUCCUCCAAGAAAUUCGGUGGUGAGAACUUUUGAAAUCGUUCAAGAGCUUUAUCCUCACCCUCGGUAUGAUUACCAGGAUUUCCCGGCUGAGUAAUAGGAUUUUGGCCUUACUGUUCCACUACGUGAGCCAAAAGGUCGGUCGUUCAGGGUUGGAUUCAGGCAUUGGUUCCCGAUUUCCCCCUUCAUUCAAGGGUUGCCUACAUCCACAGCCCCGGCCUCGUCCAUUACGAGUUCCUUCCAUUGGAUUAACUAAUCUAGGCUCAAGGUGCGAAUACAAUAUACAACUAACGAGGUCAGUCAGUCAGAUAUAUAUAAUACAUCCGAAUCAAUUCAAAAGCAAAUAUACAUAUAACACGACUAUAUCAAACAAAUCACACAGUAACAGUCAGUCAAAUACAAGCAAAGGAAAUUCUAGGGAAGUAAGGGGGUCAUUCAAUAGUACACACUAUGAACUAAACCAGGAGUACAAAAGCAACUAACGAAAAGCUCCCCCCCUAGGGUUCUAUCCGUAAUCUACAAAAAAUCGCAAUUUAUCUCUUAAGCAGGGUUAAUCAUCCACACAUCAUAUAAAGUUCCGUAGAAUCAGAUGUCUAAUUCGCCAAGUCAUUCUAACCUAGGCUUCCAUCCCAUUUCGUAUUCGGGUACAAGAAUCCAAAAUAAGAGAAUUUACCACUCGAGCUGGCCAGUCCCAAGAGUAAAUCAUCUACAUUUGAAAUUCCUACCCGACAUAUGUAUUCAUAGUCUCUAAGUACCAAAAUAAUGUUUUAAAACCUAUAAUACACUGUGAUCCAUAGCUUAUGCUCAAAAGAGCACUUAGUCCCUUACACUCAUUCACAUGAUCGAGACCACAACACCACUUGGCCCCAAGCUCACUCCGGGUAGAGACCACGCGAAGCGGUUCUGAUAUCACCUGUGAUAGCCCCACCUUCCCCUAAGGUGUACCAAAGAGGUUAGCGGACUGCCUGCCUAACUCUCGCUAGGACUACUAAGGCGGUUAUACACAACUCAAAACGUGUCGGAAUACAGUAGCGCGCGUAAACAAAGCAAAAAUCACGAAAUAGAAAAAGAAAAUCGAAAUAGAAAGUGAAUAGUGCCUGCCACGUCACCAUCCGACCGGGACCCAAUCGAAUACAAGUGACUUCAUAUAAUCCUUGAAAUGGACAUAUAUAAACCAAACAUAACACAUGAACAUGAGUACAUGCUUUUAUCAACCACAUUCAUAUUUUUAUAAAUCAAAAGGGAACAUUUGAAUCCAAGUACAAUUAGGAUUUCCAACCAUUGAGGAGCUAUACAAAAUAUCUAAACUAGCUCAACUCAUGCUUCAAAAUCACAGUUCCAAAAGUGGUUCCUUGUAAGGAAAACAAGGAUAACGGAACGGGGUGAGUUAGAAGCUCAAUGAGGUACCAAAAGCAUAACGGUGAAAAUCAUGAGAAAACACUUUUAGGGCACACAUACACAUCAAGUAAGAGAAAUAAACGAACACCACAAUUUAAAAGAUACAGGUGGCCCUCAGGAGCCAAAUCCCCGUUGCAAUACUUGAUCCAACUUUGUUGACUCUCCGUCAAUGUUUAAUAACACACUCAUGUCCGUUGACCUCUCUUACGCCAAAAUCCCGUUCACCAAACAUACCCCUUACCGGGUCCGAACGCCGAACGGGAACAGUAAUGGUAAUACUCGAGUAUAGCGAAAUCAAGAGUUUCAAUACCCAAAGAUUCUCCAGGAACAGGUACCCAUGGAUUGUCAAUUACCUCAACCAAGCCCUUGCUGGCUUGAUUUAAUUAACUCCCCAUGAGGUUGAGCUCAAGUUUAACAGGAAGAUCGUUGGACACACUUCCAAAAGAUUUCAUAACAAGUGCAAGUAGCAAGUUCAAGUACAUAACAAGUACAAGUAAUAGAUUCCAGUUCAUUCAGUACAGGCAAGAGAACGAGUGCAAUAAAGUACACCCUCGUCUCAUUCAGAAUAACAGAGUUUCAUAGUUAUCCAUGUCACACAUUUCAAGUAUAGAUGAACCAAUUAAACAACAAUUCAAGGGAGUGAUACACUCACCUAUUAAAGCGAAAUAACGUCCAGAAUAUCUUUCCGGGUAACACUCUCAAUCACCGAUGAAUCCUAAGGUUAAUCAAGAGAAAAUAUUACAGUUCCUUCAGCAAAAGUUAGGUGAAUUGAAAACAAUUCAAAUACUACUAGUACAAAGUAUAAAAAUGAUUUUGGAAGUGAAAAGAGUACAUUUAAACCAAAGGACAUGAGUAAAAUAUUUGAAAAACUUAUUCUCGCUCAUAAAACUUUGAAAUAUCCAUUUGAGUCGAAGAAAUGAAGAAAAUGUAUUUCUAUUAGUCGUAAAUUUCAUUUUUUCCAAGUGUACAAGUUUCAGCCAGACUUGAACUUAUAUACCUCGAUAAAAAAAGACGCAAAUAUUCUAGAUGGUUCAUAUGGUAUUUGCUCUCAAAUCGUUACCUAAUUCUCGAGCGUAAAUUUGGGCAGCACGUCCUUUGUAUUUACCUAUUUUCCAGCCACUUAUGGCUUCAUUAUUUUCCUCAAUCAACUCCAAAGUCAUACACAAUAUAAAUUCAUCACAACAGCCAUUCAAUAGGCUCAAAGUCAUUCAAGUACAAGAUUUAGCUAGGAAAAUGACCGGAAAUGAGCUUUAAGCUAAGAAACCAAAAAGGCAGAUUCACCGCUACUUAGCGUAUCGGACAUAACUGAAACUACGCUUAUUGGAUUGAAGUGCAAGUUAUACCGUUUCGAAGUUAAGACAGAGGGCUAUAACUUUGAUGAAAACUACUUAAUCCAGUUCUCACCCUAACUAGGUCAAGUUUACCAAAACAACCCCAGAUUUUCCAGUUCAAAGCUCACUAUGAAAUUCAACUAGCAGUCCUGAUUCAUUCAAUCAUAUCUCAACACACCCAACUGUAAUUCAGGUAAUUCCAAAGCCAUUUGAAAGCUAAGAUAGAAGACUAUAAUUCUUAAGAAGAUGUCGACAACCAAUUCGGUAAUAUUCCUGGUCAAACUAACCACUUACAGAGGCUGAUUAUCAUUUUUGACAGAAACAGGGCAGCAGGGGCAAUUUUGUCAUGUCACAAGAUACCUGCUCCGAUUGAGCUGAAAUUCUGCAGGCAGCUAGUUAACAUCAUUUUCUACAACUUUCAUGUUUUAAGCUAAGAUUGAUUCAGCUUCUAGCAUGCUCAAAUAAAGCCAGACAGAACAGGAAAAAAUUGGAACCCUAAAGCUGAAAUUUCUGCAUAAAACUGAAAUUUUCAGCAAACAAUCGUAACUAACAUAUACAAGCUCCAUUUUACACCAUAACAAGCUAUCAUACCAUAAUUAAACCAUAAUCAUCCCAUAAAAUCAGAAAAAUCUCCAUUAAAUCAGAAAUUCAACAAACACUAGUUCAACCCAUGAAGUCUUCCACAAAUUAACAUGUUAGGCCACUAGAAACCACUAAUCUUUCCUUAUUAAGAACAAAAAGGAGAUUUCUUAGCAACUUACCUUUACAACUCAAGAAAGAUGGCAACUUAGCACCUCCACUUCUAAAACCACUCCACCACCUUCUUCAAUCCUACCUAGCAAUAGGUUUUUAUGGAGGAAUUUGAAGUUUAAAUGGUUGGAUCAAGAGAUUAAACAAGAGAAUAGAAGGUAAAAGUUGAGGAAUUUUCUCUCUUUUCUCUCUAUGUUGUUCGGCCAAGAGAAAGAAAAAUGAAGAUGAAAUUGGUCAAAAUUCAUGUUUAGUAAGGUGAAAGAAAGUAGUCAAAGUCCACCCUCCAAUCAAAACGCGCCACCUAGCACCUUUUAGGUUUAACACUUAUCCUUUUGUCUCUCCUAACAAAUUAAUCUAGCUAACCUCCAAUUAUCUCCUAACACCUAGUCAAUUAAUCCCUUAAUGCAAAAUUGAACCUAAUUGGCCAAAUUAACUACACUUAACGCACUAGCGGGUCCCACAUCCACUAUACACUUCAAAUAUCUCAUUAACUAACUUAUACUAGAAAAUAAUUUAAAAACUGUAUUUACUUGUAAAAAUAUCUCUAAAGUUAACAUAAUAACAAAAAUGUAGAAAACGGAUACAAAGAAAGAAAAUAAGGCCUAGAAAUUCAGAAAAUUUUCGGGUUCUCACGGGAUCAUCAAAGUUUCUUUCUUCUCCCCUCCUCGGUUGCAGCAAAUGCUUUUUCCAGUAAAACAGUGGCUUAUCUUUUGGCAUUUUCUCGCCUUUACUUCCUCAGUUUCUGGUCUCAAUCACUUAUGCAGAGGACACUCAAUCUACUGCAGGUUAUCCUAAGCUAAGCAGAGUCGUUCAUGACCAAAAUUCAGAGGAAAGCUGGGCUAAAUCCCGUGCCUGAGCUUAGCAGCAAAACCUGAUGCAUGGCAGCAUGCAUCAGACUCCAUCGAAUUCAGUUUUACGUCCCAACUGAACGUAUAGAGGCUAAUGACUUAGCUAAAAAUUAUCCUAAAGAAAGGAUGACAGUUUAUGAUCAGAAUUCACGAGAAUACUGAAGAAAUAUCUGUUGCAAGCACUUCUUAAUGUUAUCAUCCCAAGAAAAAUUUGAUAACAGUUGCAGGUUCAGGCUUUAAUCUCAGUUUUCUGCAAUUUCCCUUUUCCUGCAAUUUUACAGUUGCUACCCGACAUUUACUUCAGCCACAAGCUCAAAUUCCCAGCUAAAUUCGACAUGCAGCUGGUGUUUAUCCAAUUAUACCAACUAAAGAGCGAGUUGUUAUAAAAUCUUACCUGUUCCCCUUAAAAUUCGAUGUUGCAGGCUGCUCAAGUUUCGGUUUCAGCUCCUCAAUUCCUAGCACUCGAUUCUCCCGUUCCUUGCAGUCCCUUCCUCAGCUCUGGCUAAUUGAUUAUGAUGCUUACCUAAGUUGUAACUGGUUUCUCUUAACCUUGCUCUCUCUCUUUUCACUC
RNAcentral lists this long non-coding RNA (22168 nucleotides) under Coffea arabica (coffee). Its description in RNAcentral is "long non-coding RNA (CARA_LNC004307)". Lineage: Eukaryota; Viridiplantae; Streptophyta; Magnoliopsida; Gentianales; Rubiaceae. The record is from RNAcentral.